GGGAACCACCACUGAUCUCAGAUGCAAACUGCUUCUUAUUCACAGCUGGCAGACUAUUUGAUGCUACAGUAUAUGGAGACUGUGCAUGCUUUCCAUUAUUCGUUGCAGUUAUUCUGUAUUUAUGCUGCAGAAAAAAGAAAUCAGGACAUCAAACAGAUAACACCUAUAUACUGAUUCUAAAUAAUUACACCACAGGACAGACUAACAGGUCCAUUUUUUACUGAGAGAAAAGUCCUAUCUACAAUGAAAAGGAUGUUUUACAUACGGUUUCUGUGUAUUUGUAAAGAGUUACCACCAUACAUGACAUCUAUCUAUCUAUCUAUCUAU
This is a long non-coding RNA of Pseudophryne corroboree (corroboree frog), 327 nucleotides long. RefSeq lists it as uncharacterized. The transcript has 3 exons. NCBI's taxonomy places the organism in Eukaryota, Metazoa, Chordata, Amphibia, Anura, Myobatrachidae. The record is from RefSeq and is a predicted model, not a curated record.